Molecule: non-coding RNA, 400 nt
Organism: Poecilia reticulata (guppy)
Lineage: Eukaryota; Metazoa; Chordata; Actinopteri; Cyprinodontiformes; Poeciliidae
Source: RefSeq, a predicted model, not a curated record
ACGCCGCAUUCCAGGUCGAGUUCUUCGAAGCAAUGCCUACUCUGAGGCGUCAAGGGUAACACUUUUCCUCCCUACGACGGAAGCCAUUGCUCUCUUUCUCUGGCCAUCACACUAACAGACAAGAAGAUUUGACAAGCAUGGCAGGUUUCUGCCUCUCAGCCUGGAAACGGGAGGCAAGAAAGCUGCAACUUCUGAAGCCAAUUACUUAAGUUUUUUUUGCCUCAAUCUCUCCUCACAAGAAAGGACUGAAUGAAACCUUCCCAAAGCCCUCUUAUCAUAUGUGCAUUCUAAUCUCCCCCUCGCAAGAAGCGUUCUACGGGGAUCCUUCUGAAGGAAUAGCUUGUUUCUGUGCAGCUCAAAUGUGCCAACAGGGAACAUUUACUCAGAGAUUCUUUGCAGU